GACGAACGCUGGCGGCGUGCUUAACACAUGCAAGUCGAACGGAAAGGCCCUGCUUUUGUGGGGUGCUCGAGUGGCGAACGGGUGAGUAACAAGUGAGUAACCUGCCCUUGACUUUGGGAUAACUUCAGGAAACUGGGGCUAAUACCGGAUAGGAGCUCCUGCUGCAUGGUGGGGGUUGGAAAGUUUCGGCGGUUGGGGAUGGACUCGCGGCUUAUCAGCUUGUUGGUGGGGUAGUGGCUUACCAAGGCUUUGACGGGUAGCCGGCCUGAGAGGGUGACCGGCCACAUUGGGACUGAGAUACGGCGCAGACUCCUACGGGAGGCAGCAGUGGGGAAUAUUGCACAGUGGGCGGAAGCCUGAUGCAGAAACGCCGCGUGCGGGAUGACGGCCUUCGGGUUGUAAACCGCUUUCGCCUGUGACGAAGCGUGAGUGACGGUAAUGGGUAAAGAAGCACCGGCUAACUACGUG
Molecule: ribosomal RNA, 468 nt
Filed under: uncultured bacterium
Lineage: Bacteria
Description: partial 16S ribosomal RNA
Rfam family: Bacterial small subunit ribosomal RNA
Source: RNAcentral